GGGGACGUAGCUUAACCUGGGAAAGCACUAGGCUGAAGACCUAGGCAUCGUGGGAGGUUCAUAAAAUAUCUUUAUGGAUCCACGAAUUCAAAUCCCACCGUCCCCA
This 106-nucleotide transfer RNA is filed under the name Nanobdellota archaeon. Its description in RNAcentral is "tRNA-Phe". It matches the Rfam family "tRNA". Rfam says of the family: Transfer RNA (tRNA) molecules are approximately 80 nucleotides in length. Their secondary structure includes four short double-helical elements and three loops (D, anti-codon, and T loops). Lineage: Archaea; Nanobdellati; Nanobdellota. The record is from RNAcentral.